Molecule: ribosomal RNA, 748 nt
Filed under: Gaeumannomyces tritici
Lineage: Eukaryota; Fungi; Ascomycota; Sordariomycetes; Magnaporthales; Magnaporthaceae
Description: eukaryotic LSU rRNA
Rfam family: Eukaryotic large subunit ribosomal RNA
Source: RNAcentral
UGCCUUAGUAACGGCGAGUGAAGCGGCAACAGCUCAAAUUUGAAAUCUGGCCCUAGGCCCGAGUUGUAAUUUGCAGAGGAUGCUUUUGGCAAAGCGCUUACCGAGUCCCCUGGAACGGGGCGCCACAGAGGGUGAGAGCCCCGUAUGGUAUGACGCCGAGCCUCUGUAAAGCUCCUUCGACGAGUCGAGUAGUUUGGGAAUGCUGCUCUAAAUGGGAGGUAAAUUUCUUCUAAAGCUAAAUACCGGCCAGAGACCGAUAGCGCACAAGUAGAGUGAUCGAAAGAUGAAAAGCACUUUGAAAAGAGGGUUAAAUAGCACGUGAAAUUGUUGAAAGGGAAGCGCUCGUGACCAGACUUGCGCCGGGCGGAUCAUCCAGCGUUCUCGCUGGUGCACUCCGCCCGGCUCAGGCCAGCAUCGGUUUUCGCCGGGGGACAAAAGCUUCGGGAACGUGGCUCCCUUCGGGGAGUGUUAUAGCCCGUUGCUUAAUACCCCGGCGGGGACCGAGGACCGCGCUUCGGCAAGGAUGCUGGCGUAAUGGUCAUCAGCGACCCGUCUUGAAACACGGACCGAGGAGUCAAGCAUUAGUGCGAGUGUUUGGGUGUAAAACCCGCACGCGUAAUGAAAGUGAGCGUAGGUGAGAGCUUCGGCGCAUCAUCGACCGAUCCUGAUGUUUUCGGAUGGAUUUGAGUAGGAGCAUUAACGCUUGGACCCGAAAGAUGGUGAACUAUACUUGAAUAGGGUGAAGCCA